RNAcentral lists this long non-coding RNA (270 nucleotides) under Anas platyrhynchos platyrhynchos (common mallard). RNAcentral describes it as "lncRNA (ENSAPLG00000022706.1)". Lineage: Eukaryota; Metazoa; Chordata; Aves; Anseriformes; Anatidae. The record is from RNAcentral.
UCUAAGAUUCCUAGGAAUUAACUUAAUGUUCUUUUGUCUUCACAGUUCAUUCAAACCAUCUGCAAAGUUUUGAAAUGAACAAAGGGAAGGAGAACAGCAAUGCAACACAUGUUUUCUGGGAAGUACCGAGGUGCUUCUGUGGCCUGAUUUCCAGAGUUUGCUGAGCAUCAGCACGAUCCCAUUAGGGGCUGGAGAGUGAUGGAAAUAGAGGCAUUAAGCCCUGAGCCACCAGGCGGGCAGGAGUGCUGAAAUGAAAAAGUUAUGUUUAGA